Nicotiana attenuata is the source of this 100-nucleotide non-coding RNA. Lineage: Eukaryota; Viridiplantae; Streptophyta; Magnoliopsida; Solanales; Solanaceae. The record is from Rfam.
GGACAAUGACGACUACUUUUCAGAUUGGUCUCGUUCGUCGUAAUGGUGUAAAUCCACCUUGCCGACCAUCCUGAUAUAUCACCACCCAUAAACUGAGUCC